GACGAACCGUCCAAACGUUAUUCGGAAUCACUGGGCUUAAAGGGCGCGUAGGCGGCCGAGCGGGUCGUGGGUGAAAUCCCCCAGCUUAACUGGGGAACUGCUUACGAUACCACUGCGGCUCGAGGAAGGAAGGGGCAAUUGGAACUGUCGGUGGAGCGGUGAAAUGCGUUGAUAUCGACAGGAACGCCUGUGGCGAAAGCGAAUUGCUGGUCCUUUUCUGACGCUGAGGCGCGAAAGCCAGGGGAGCAAACGGG
This 254-nucleotide ribosomal RNA is filed under the name uncultured bacterium. Its description in RNAcentral is "partial 16S ribosomal RNA". It matches the Rfam family "Bacterial small subunit ribosomal RNA", at positions 524 to 776 of the family's 1533-position model. The record is from RNAcentral.